Molecule: ribosomal RNA, 304 nt
Filed under: uncultured bacterium
Lineage: Bacteria
Description: partial 16S ribosomal RNA
Rfam family: Bacterial small subunit ribosomal RNA
Source: RNAcentral
CAGCAGCAGCCACGGGAAUACAGAGGGUGCGAGCGUUAAUCGGAUUUACUGGGCGUAAAGCGUGCGUAGGCGGCUUUUUAAGUCGGAUGUGAAAUCCCUGAGCUUAACUUAGGAAUUGCAUUCGAUACUGGGAAGCUAGAGUAUGGGAGAGGAUGGUAGAAUUCCAGGUGUAGCGGUGAAAUGCGUAGAGAUCUGGAGGAAUACCGAUGGCGAAGGCAGCCAUCUGGCCUAAUACUGACGCUGAGGUACGAAAGCAUGGGGAGCAAACAGGAUUAGAUACCCGCGUAGUCCCUGUCUCUUAUAC